AACGAACGCUGGCGGCGUGCUUAACACAUGCAAGUCGAACGCGAAGGGACUUCGGUCCUGAGUAAAGUGGCGCACGGGUGAGUAACGCGUAGAUAACCUGUCUUCAUGUCUGGAAUAAUACGCCGAAAGGGGUACUAAUACCGGAUAUUCUUGCUUUUCAUAAGUUAUGCAAGCAAAGGUGGCCUCUGCAUAUGCUACUGCAUGAAGAGGGGUCUGCGUACCAUUAGCUAGUAGGUGGGGUAAUGGCCUACCUAGGCGACGAUGGUUAGCGGGUCUGAGAGGAUGAUCCGCCACACUGGCACUGGAACACGGGCCAGACUCCUACGGGAGGCAGCAGUGAGGAAUAUUGGACAAUGGAUGGAAAUCUGAUCCAGCCAUGCCGCGUGCAGGAAAGACGGCCCUAUGGGUUGUAAACUGCUUUUGUAUGGGAGCAAUAAGGGCUACGUGUAGUCCGAUGAGAGUACCAUACGAAUAAGCACCGGCUAACUCCGUGCCAGCAGCCGC
Molecule: ribosomal RNA, 504 nt
Filed under: uncultured bacterium
Lineage: Bacteria
Description: bacterial SSU rRNA
Rfam family: Bacterial small subunit ribosomal RNA
Source: RNAcentral